GUCAGUAUGGCCGAGUGGUUAAGGCGUUAGACUUGAAAUCUAAUGAGCAUUGCUUUCACAGGUUCAAAUCCUGUUGCUGACG
This 82-nucleotide transfer RNA is filed under the name Mycoemilia scoparia. It matches the Rfam family "tRNA". From Rfam's summary of the family: Transfer RNA (tRNA) molecules are approximately 80 nucleotides in length. Their secondary structure includes four short double-helical elements and three loops (D, anti-codon, and T loops). The record is from Rfam by way of RNAcentral. Lineage: Eukaryota; Fungi; Kickxellomycota; Kickxellomycetes; Kickxellales; Kickxellaceae.